ACUAGAAACACUCACGUAAAAGUUGAAUCAAUCCCUUCCCUUUUGUCUUUCUCCAUUCUGAUUAAAAAUGCAUCAACAUAAUCGUCUCCUUCCUCACUAGCAACA
RNAcentral lists this small nucleolar RNA (105 nucleotides) under Caenorhabditis remanei. Its description in RNAcentral is "Small nucleolar RNA sn2524". It matches the Rfam family "Small nucleolar RNA sn2524". The record is from Rfam by way of RNAcentral. Lineage: Eukaryota; Metazoa; Nematoda; Chromadorea; Rhabditida; Rhabditidae.